GGGAAUUUUCCGCAAUGGGCGAAAGCCUGACGGAGCAACGCCGCGUGGGUGAAGAAGGAUUUCGGUCUGUAAAGCCCUUUCAGUCGGGACGAGACGAAGACGGUACCGACAGAAGAAGCAUCGGCUAACUACGUGCCAGCAGCCGCGGUAAUACGUAGGAUGCAAGCGUUAUCCGGAAUUAUUGGGCGUAAAGCGUACGUAGGCGGUUUACCAAGUCUGGAGUUAAAGACCGAGGCUCAACCUCGGGAGUGCUCUGGAAACUGGUAGGCUGGAGGACGGCAGAGGAAAGUGGAAUUCCCAGUGUAGCGGUGAAAUGCGUAGAUAUUGGGAGGAACACCAGUGGCGAAAGCGACUUUCUGGGCCGUUCCUGACGCUGAGGUACGAAAGCCAGGGGAGCAAA
Molecule: ribosomal RNA, 400 nt
Filed under: uncultured bacterium
Lineage: Bacteria
Description: bacterial SSU rRNA
Rfam family: Bacterial small subunit ribosomal RNA
Source: RNAcentral